Molecule: long non-coding RNA, 24041 nt
Filed under: Citrus sinensis (sweet orange)
Lineage: Eukaryota; Viridiplantae; Streptophyta; Magnoliopsida; Sapindales; Rutaceae
Description: long non-coding RNA (CSIN_LNC002917)
Source: RNAcentral
UCUUUCAAUAGGAUUUUGAACUCUUUAUUUUCUCAAUUAUAUUUGAUACUGAUGCAUCCCUUUCGUGUUCUGUUGUAGGAAUUUAACUCACAGGAUAGUUUCAUUCCAUUCGGUGGAAGCAAGGCAAUAAACUAAUUUGUGGAUUUCCAGUGGUUGCUUUUAUGACAAACUUGCCUUCUAAACCUUCCUCGGGACUUUUGAGCCACAAUUUCUUGCCCGAUAUCCAAACUAAGCUACUGAUUUGUAAUUGUAAACUGAUGCUGAAAUUUAUCUUCUUUGGGACAAGCUCAUAGCCAUGUCUCUUAAGAAAGAUUUCUGAAGCUUUUUAUUAGGCCAAACAAUGUAGAGCUGUUAACGAUUUGCAUGUAAUCUUUCAUGUUGGAGGGAACUUCUAAGUUCUAUCUUCUGUGAGUAUGUUGUUGCAUACAAUCAUCUGGUCUGAUUUUACAAGGUCUGUUCUGAUGUUAUUGAACCCACGAGGUAGAACUCCCCCUUAAAAACUUGCUAUCCAGGGAAGGGUGCCUUGGGUUUAAUAAACCACCCUCUAAGCCGAUACCUAACCGAUUAUGUUAAUGUUUUCUGGAUGUUGAAUUUUAGCAUCUUGACAAAGCAUGUAGGUCCAAGCUAGUCUGGCAAUUUUCUUCAUUUAGACCUCUUCGCAUCUUAGUAUGGGAUAAGGAUAGGAAAAGCACAAGUGUCAUGGAUCCCAACGGUAGACCGAAUGCCGUGUGGACCACCAAAAUUCGAAGAAGCAUAAAAGAACCAAUGAAAUGAGCCGAUAAGAGCUGCAAUAAUUAGAGAACUGAAGCAUACAUGUCACGAAUUUGUGAAGCCCCAACAGAUCAUACAAGUUGGCUUUUAUUAUGGGCGUGUUUAUUAUAAGCUGGUAAUUAAGAUUGCUCUAGAGCUUGCCGGCUUCUUGUUCAUGUACUGCAUCAUUGGUUGUGUCUGUGGGGAAGCUGGGUAAGGAGCCAACACCCAUUCUGCCAGUUACCUAGGCUGGCAGCUUUGGCAGCAUGUUUUAAAGGGUGAGUGCACAUUUGCCUUUGCACAAGGAGUAGGGCACCUGCUCGAAUUCUAGACCAAAAACACGGUAAUUGGGCCAGCAUUUGUUGCUAAAAAGAGUUCAAUGCAUGCACGCAUGAAACAGACAGGACCACCGGCCACAACAUCCCUCGGUCCCGCCCACUGCCGCAGAAGCCCCUCGUGUUAUACAAAAAUAAUAUGGACUAUACUAUGUGUCAAUAAUAACGUGCAUUUCAUCUAUCAAACAUUGAAUUCGGAUGAAAAGUACAAUUGUAAUGACAUCAUAACAGUCAAAUUGUGUUAUAGAUGGUGGGUGGGAACCGGAAAGCAACUGUCCCAUGCAUAACAUAUGAUACGAAUAUUAAUUCAUUAUAUACUUUUUGUUAUCACAUACAUAGUACAUAUAACAUUUAUCAUGUUUUCUCUCAAAUGUAAUGUAUGUGAUAUUAUAUGAUGGUAACCUGAACUGAGUGCUAGCACUGUAUUCAGAAAUCAGAAUAAUGGUCGGCUGACUACAAAGCCGAAUCUAAAUCUUUGUCUUGGUAGCACCCUAAUGCUUGCAUAAUUCAAAUCGUUUGGCAUAAAACCAUUCAUCACCAAACCCUAACUGCCAAGCACUUGUUGUCUCAAAUAUAGAAGGAACUUAAAUUUCAAAACAAAUUAAACGACAUAAAAUUGAAUAUUUGUAGUUUUUUAAUAUGUAGUGAUACAGUCCAAUUGUACACAUGUUGAGUAGACAGGGAUUUAAAGUCAGCAUCAAUUGGUUUUGUAACAACCCAGCACAGAAUUAUGCGUUCAAUUUCACAUUUAUUUUGAAAAGAGACAGACCCACCAUCUUACUUGUAGUGUAGGAAAAUAUAAAAACAAUUGGAGCAAAUUUCGCAAAUUAAACUUCGGGGGGGUCCUACUAAAAUAAAUUUUUGCCCACUUAGAGAAGAUCAGUCUCCAUUUUUUUUUUUUUUUAAGUUUUCGUUACUCCUCCAUUAUUUGCGAUGCCGCAUUUUUUUAUUUAUUAGACAAAAUUUCUUUGGGCGAUAUUGGGCAAGAUUCAUAAACCAACCCAAUAAGGCUGUUUUUGAUUGACAUUAAGGUAUUUAUUAGAUACUGCGGUACAGUGGCUGAUUAUUCAAUUUAAGACACACUUUUAAACAUAAUUACACACAUAAUACAUAAAUAUAAAAUAAAUUUAUUCAAGUCAAUUAAGAAAUAGAGUAUGCCCAUUUAAAAUUGAGAAAUUUAAUUAAUUGACGCGGGAGUGCAAUUAUUGUCAUUUUCUGUUAGAUUUAGGUGGCGUUUGUUUUUUUAUCUGAAAUCUGAAUAGACCUGAAUCAGUAUGAAUUCUGAAUAGGUCUGAAUGUCUGAAUCUGAAUAAUAUGUUUGUUUUUUUGUUUGAAUCUCAGAAAAUAAGUAUUAAGUUGUUUGUUUUUUUCAACUUAAAAAACUAAAAAUAUGUACUUUUACAUUUGUAUCCUUAUUAAAUUUGAAUGUCAAAUAAAUAAUAUAUUAAAUACCACAAUAUUUUUAAUAUUUAUAAGUAAAACUAUAUUCAAGCGAAUACAUAAUUAUUUUAAAAUUUUAAUAUAUAAAAUACCAUAAAUUUCAAAUUUUAUCGUAUAUAAUAUAAGAAAGAAAAAACAUGGAUAUUUUUAUGUGGGGUAAAUAUCUAUGGGUGAGUUUUGGGAUAGACAUAAAAAAUAAAUUAUAAAACAUGGAUAUUUUUUACAUUAGCAAGUAAUUGACUUAAUUCAGAUUUCUCCAUUAAGUAAAAAGCCAAAAAAAUUAGAGCUUAUUUUAUUAAGUCAAAAUUAUCUAAAAAAUUUCAUUAAGUUAUAAAAACAAAUGCCUCUAAUUAAGUUAAUUAAUUAAGUUAAGUCACUUUAAGUCAUUAAGUUAAAAAACAAACGCCACCUUAGGCUCGAAAAUGGCUAAGGUUAUAAAAAAAAAAUAUGGACACUGCUGUACCGUACAUCCGCCUUGGCCGUACAGCAGAUUAUCUUCACUAAAUUUGUUUUCAAAAAUUCAAAAAUUUUAGGUGUUAAGCAAGAUGGAAGUGCAGCACACUUCUUUUAUAGAGCUAUCAAGGCUUACAGUACUGGAACUCGAAAGCGUAGAAAGAUAAAUGGUGAUGAUUUUGGUGAGGUGCGCUGGCACAAGACUGGCAGGACUAAACCAGUGAUGUUAGAUGGGGUUCAAAAAGGGUGUAAGAAGAUUAUGGUUCUCUAUAUGAGCAUGGUCAGGGGAGGGAAACCUGAGAAAACUAAUUGGGUGAUGCACCAGUAUCACUUGGGAACAGAGGAGGAUGAAAAGGAUGACAACUAUGUUAUAUCUAAAAUAUUUUAUCAGCAGCAACAGGCCAAGUAUGGUGAUAAAAUUGAACAAGAUAUUCUUGAAAGCACUGGUGCCAUCAUUCCAAAAGUAGAUCCAGUCACUCCUAAGUCAGUGACUCCAGACCCACCUCGUACUGAAAGGCAUCCUGAUUUUGGCCCACGACAAGAGUCUCCUACUACAGAUGCAUUUGAUCAGGUACAAUUCUCUAUCUGACUAGUAGUGUGAAAUCAGCUGCUUUCUUUCAUGACUUAAUUCAUAUUGAACAAUCUAGAAUUUUUGGCUACAUUUCAUAAUGGCAACAAUUUAAAUUAAUAAAAAAUGAAAAAUAGAAGCUAUUGAAAGUAUCUUCUCUUUACAUUUAUACACGUCCUCUGUUGGAAGGAAAUCCUGACAGUUGUUUUUUUUCCUGGCUUCUUCUCCUCCUUAUACUUUUCCUCAUAAUGGAAGCAAUCUGAGAUAAGGCAUGUGGAAGAGGUUCAACCUUUAUGUGAAAACCCCGGUUCUAAUGAUAAAAUCGAAGCAGAAAAUCAUGCUAAUAUGAUGGUUGGUAAUAAUGAUAAUGGAAGUCAAGCAGGAGACGACCGCAAAUGGUGGGACAGUGAAUCGCAGAAUGGCUUAUCGCAGAAUAUCUUGGAUACGCAACAACUAGCAGAAGCGCUGACUCUAUGCGAGGAGUUCUUGAACAGCCAGUCUGAUGGAAAUGCGAAUGAUGGAACAUCAAAGGGAAAACCUGGUCUUUCUGAUUAUGCUCGGUUAGGAUCUGAACAUUUGAAGAAGGAUUUGGAGGAGUGUCAGAUGCUAGUCCAUGAUCCUGCAAACAUCGAACUCGAUACACCUCCAGAAUUUGGACUGAGCCAGCUUGUAUGUCCUGUUUUAUGCCAUUUCACUACUCUUUCAAUAGGAUUUUGAACUCUUUAUUUUCUCAAUUAUAUUUGAUACUGAUGCAUCCCUUUCGUGUUCUGUUGUAGGAAUUUAACUCACAGGAUAGUUUCAUUCCAUUCGGUGGAAGCAAGGCAAUAAACUAAUUUGUGGAUUUCCAGUGGUUGCUUUUAUGACAAACUUGCCUUCUAAACCUUCCUCGGGACUUUUGAGCCACAAUUUCUUGCCCGAUAUCCAAACUAAGCUACUGAUUUGUAAUUGUAAACUGAUGCUGAAAUUUAUCUUCUUUGGGACAAGCUCAUAGCCAUGUCUCUUAAGAAAGAUUUCUGAAGCUUUUUAUUAGGCCAAACAAUGUAGAGCUGUUAACGAUUUGCAUGUAAUCUUUCAUGUUGGAGGGAACUUCUAAGUUCUAUCUUCUGUGAGUAUGUUGUUGCAUACAAUCAUCUGGUCUGAUUUUACAAGGUCUGUUCUGAUGUUAUUGAACCCACGAGGUAGAACUCCCCCUUAAAAACUUGCUAUCCAGGGAAGGGUGCCUUGGGUUUAAUAAACCACCCUCUAAGCCGAUACCUAACCGAUUAUGUUAAUGUUUUCUGGAUGUUGAAUUUUAGCAUCUUGACAAAGCAUGUAGGUCCAAGCUAGUCUGGCAAUUUUCUUCAUUUAGACCUCUUCGCAUCUUAGUAUGGGAUAAGGAUAGGAAAAGCACAAGUGUCAUGGAUCCCAACGGUAGACCGAAUGCCGUGUGGACCACCAAAAUUCGAAGAAGCAUAAAAGAACCAAUGAAAUGAGCCGAUAAGAGCUGCAAUAAUUAGAGAACUGAAGCAUACAUGUCACGAAUUUGUGAAGCCCCAACAGAUCAUACAAGUUGGCUUUUAUUAUGGGCGUGUUUAUUAUAAGCUGGUAAUUAAGAUUGCUCUAGAGCUUGCCGGCUUCUUGUUCAUGUACUGCAUCAUUGGUUGUGUCUGUGGGGAAGCUGGGUAAGGAGCCAACACCCAUUCUGCCAGUUACCUAGGCUGGCAGCUUUGGCAGCAUGUUUUAAAGGGUGAGUGCACAUUUGCCUUUGCACAAGGAGUAGGGCACCUGCUCGAAUUCUAGACCAAAAACACGGUAAUUGGGCCAGCAUUUGUUGCUAAAAAGAGUUCAAUGCAUGCACGCAUGAAACAGACAGGACCACCGGCCACAACAUCCCUCGGUCCCGCCCACUGCCGCAGAAGCCCCUCGUGUUAUACAAAAAUAAUAUGGACUAUACUAUGUGUCAAUAAUAACGUGCAUUUCAUCUAUCAAACAUUGAAUUCGGAUGAAAAGUACAAUUGUAAUGACAUCAUAACAGUCAAAUUGUGUUAUAGAUGGUGGGUGGGAACCGGAAAGCAACUGUCCCAUGCAUAACAUAUGAUACGAAUAUUAAUUCAUUAUAUACUUUUUGUUAUCACAUACAUAGUACAUAUAACAUUUAUCAUGUUUUCUCUCAAAUGUAAUGUAUGUGAUAUUAUAUGAUGGUAACCUGAACUGAGUGCUAGCACUGUAUUCAGAAAUCAGAAUAAUGGUCGGCUGACUACAAAGCCGAAUCUAAAUCUUUGUCUUGGUAGCACCCUAAUGCUUGCAUAAUUCAAAUCGUUUGGCAUAAAACCAUUCAUCACCAAACCCUAACUGCCAAGCACUUGUUGUCUCAAAUAUAGAAGGAACUUAAAUUUCAAAACAAAUUAAACGACAUAAAAUUGAAUAUUUGUAGUUUUUUAAUAUGUAGUGAUACAGUCCAAUUGUACACAUGUUGAGUAGACAGGGAUUUAAAGUCAGCAUCAAUUGGUUUUGUAACAACCCAGCACAGAAUUAUGCGUUCAAUUUCACAUUUAUUUUGAAAAGAGACAGACCCACCAUCUUACUUGUAGUGUAGGAAAAUAUAAAAACAAUUGGAGCAAAUUUCGCAAAUUAAACUUCGGGGGGGUCCUACUAAAAUAAAUUUUUGCCCACUUAGAGAAGAUCAGUCUCCAUUUUUUUUUUUUUUUAAGUUUUCGUUACUCCUCCAUUAUUUGCGAUGCCGCAUUUUUUUAUUUAUUAGACAAAAUUUCUUUGGGCGAUAUUGGGCAAGAUUCAUAAACCAACCCAAUAAGGCUGUUUUUGAUUGACAUUAAGGUAUUUAUUAGAUACUGCGGUACAGUGGCUGAUUAUUCAAUUUAAGACACACUUUUAAACAUAAUUACACACAUAAUACAUAAAUAUAAAAUAAAUUUAUUCAAGUCAAUUAAGAAAUAGAGUAUGCCCAUUUAAAAUUGAGAAAUUUAAUUAAUUGACGCGGGAGUGCAAUUAUUGUCAUUUUCUGUUAGAUUUAGGUGGCGUUUGUUUUUUUAUCUGAAAUCUGAAUAGACCUGAAUCAGUAUGAAUUCUGAAUAGGUCUGAAUGUCUGAAUCUGAAUAAUAUGUUUGUUUUUUUGUUUGAAUCUCAGAAAAUAAGUAUUAAGUUGUUUGUUUUUUUCAACUUAAAAAACUAAAAAUAUGUACUUUUACAUUUGUAUCCUUAUUAAAUUUGAAUGUCAAAUAAAUAAUAUAUUAAAUACCACAAUAUUUUUAAUAUUUAUAAGUAAAACUAUAUUCAAGCGAAUACAUAAUUAUUUUAAAAUUUUAAUAUAUAAAAUACCAUAAAUUUCAAAUUUUAUCGUAUAUAAUAUAAGAAAGAAAAAACAUUGAUAUUUUUAUGUGGGGUAAAUAUCUAUGGGUGAGUUUUGGGAUAGACAUAAAAAAUAAAUUAUAAAACAUGGAUAUUUUUUACAUUAGCAAGUAAUUGACUUAAUUCAGAUUUCUCCAUUAAGUAAAAAGCCAAAAAAAUUAGUUUAUUUUAUUAAGUCAAAAUUAUCUAAAAAGUCUCAUUAAGUUAUAAAAAUAAAAACCUCUAAUUAACUUAAUUAAUUAAGUUAAGUCACUUUAAGUCAUUAAGUUAAAAAAUAAACGGCACAUUACUGUCGUUUAACUAUAAGAGUCAUGUUGGGAUUGUCCCUUGAGCAUUUCUUAUUAGAUUUUUUUAAUUAUUAUCAUUAUUAUUAUUAUAAACUCAUAUAAUUCAAUCAAGCUCGAACCCAAAUCCUGAGAAGCUGAGACCUAGAAAAAUAUUUCUUUACUAGUAGAUUUAGGCUUUGACUUCCUCAUCAGGUCACUUCGAAAAUACAUUUUAAUUUAACGCACGUAAUUUUAGGAAUAAACCAUGUGAAAAUAAGGGCAAUUUUUAAAAACCUCUCUUGAGGUUUGGACUUGUUGCAAGUAAAUGACGAGAAUCUAUUUAUUUAUAAAAAAUCUCCUACCGUCAGUUAAUUUUUAUAUUGACCGUUAGUUGAUUGUGCAAAGACAAUAUUGUCCUUAACAAUAAUUUGUAGACUGAUACAACUAAAAAAAACUAAAAUUAUUGGCGCGAAAAUGACAAACUCUAUUUUUUUGAUAAUUUUAUCCCUGUCAAUUCCAAAUAUUUACAAUAUCAUAGGUAAGGAUUAUGACUAUUUUACUCUCUUUAAAUUAUUGAUAUUUCCUUAAAGUUCCUACAAGAAAGAUAAAAUUAAAAACUUGAAAAAAAAUAAAGAGGGUGUUGCAUUAUGACCGUUACAAACCAACACCCUCUUUAUUUUUUUUCAAGUUUUUAAUUUUAUCUUUCUUUUAGGAACUUUAAGGAAAUAUCAAUAAUUUAAAGAGGGUAAAAUAGUCAUAAUCCUUACUUAUGAUAUUGUAAAUCUUUAGAAUUGACAGGGAUAAAAUUAUUAAAAAAAUAGGGUUUGUCAUUUUUGCGCCAACAAUUUUAAUUUUUUUUAGUUGUGUCAGUCUACAAACUGUUGUUAAAGGUAAUAUUAUCUUUGCACAGUCAACUAACGGUCAAUGUAAAAAUUAAUUGAUGGUAGAGAAUUUUUAAUAAAUAAACGAAUUCUCACUAUCUACUUGCAACAAACCUAAACUUCAAUAGAAGUUUUUAAAAAUUACCCGUGAAAAUAAUCGUAUUCACCUAAAAGAAUUUAACGACCAGAUAGAUAUAUUGAAUUUGAAUCCUGCAAAUAAUUGAUGACAGAGGUUCGGGGUCCCCUCUUGGCUCUUAUUCCGUUAGAGGAGGAAUCGGACACAUGGUGGGGUUGUGGAUUAGGAGGCGCACGUGGGCUUUAUUUAUUUAUUUUUUUCAAAAAAAGAGGCUCAUUUGACCUAUCACGUUCUGUCGUGUGUCCUGUCCUCUUCCUAUCUUCAUCAAUUUCCUACGUGGCCGACAACAGAAUAUUACUUCGCAGUUUCAGCCUCUGUUCAUCUGGCAUACCGGACCCCACUCCCUCCACAUUUUCACUCAAGCCCUCUAUUGAACUCAAAAUUCAUUCGUUUACCCCUCUUUUCUUCACGUGUCAGUCUGUGACGUGCUUGUGUCGAACGUUUUGGGUGCACCUGAAUACACUUUAGAAUUCCGCACCCAUUAUAAAACAAACAGGUCAAUCGCGUCCUUCCUCUGCCGUACACGUGGCGCACGUGAACAUAUGGUUGUGACACCAAUAAUUCACCAGGCAGGCCCAAGUAAGGAGUUCAGUUUUGACCACACAAAACCCACAAACGGCUCAAACUGAACUCAUCCAUAACACACCGAAGCCAAAGGCCGUGUUUGGUGGAGGCUCCUUUUUUUCUUUUCCCUUUUUUUUUCCUUAAAAAAAAAAAAGAAAAAAGAAAAGCUUACAGUUUAUUUAACUUGUGUAAUAAUAUGCGAGCAUGCUGUUUGGUUGAAGACAAGAAAAUCGAAACGAGGUUGCGACGGAGACCACUGACCUGAUUCCUAUUUCAUUGUUGUAUAAUAAUACUAUAAUCUGUGUUUAAAGAGACAAGAGAAAGAGUUUAAAUAAUACUUUCCGCAAUAUUGUGGUAUUAAUUAAUUAAAUUACUAUAAAAUGAAUUUUUAGUUUCAUUGAGAUAAGCACUCUUAGGAUGAAACGGCGGCAAAAAGUGGGAUAUAAUUGGAAGAUAAUAAUGAUCAUAGGGUAGGAAUACCACACCGAAUUGUCACUUCGAAUGAUUAACCGGCCUAGGUGAUGUGGAUGCCUAUGGUCCUUAAGACAUUAUCUCAAACCUCUUCGGAAAAAAAGUGGUUUAGCUUGGAUUUUUCCUGCUUUGUUUAGGGUAGCCAUAGACGAUAGGGCAUAGCCAUUAUCUAUAUAUAACUAUAAAACGCAGAAACUAUUGCAAUUUGGUCAAAAAGUUGUUUAAAAAAAGGUUAAGGAGAUGCAACCCCAACAAAAUUUCGUUAAUAAUUCGCCUUAUCGUGAAAGAUUAUGUGUGACCCUUCUCUCUUUUCUAAUAGUUUUAUCGUAAUUGGGAACACUCAAUUAGCUACUAAUAAACAUACUCGAUGAAAGUUAAAGUUGUCUAAUUUAUUCAUAUUAUUAAACUAAGUAACACUUAAACGAUAGAUAAAAUAAAAGAGUGGCUUAUAUGUAACUGAAUAGGUGAAAUAAAAAAGUGUAUAUAUCUUUUUUUAUAUCUUAAUCACAAGAUAUCCUAUAGAGAGCCCCAGCUGUGGGAAGCACCUUUAAACCCGUACCACAAUUCAGACUACAAGUUCCCGCUCGAACCGGGAAGCACAGAUUCUCCCAACAAAGGCGACUUCCCUGCGACUCAAACUGGGGAGCAAACCCAGUCAAGCCACUUAAGGGGACUCCAUUGCCAGUAAAGCUAACACUUUGUUGGUAAAAAAUGUAUAUAUCAUGUUGGCUAAUAUUACAUUUUAGACUGAUAAUAUAAACUUAAGAUAAUACUUAACUCACAAACCAACUUCUAAGUUUAAGUUAGGCUUAUGAGCAUUUAGAUUUUACUCCCACCACCGAUAUUGUGUGGAGAUGUGUCUUUCCUUUUAUAAGGAAAUUAAAAUGAAUUCUCAUAAAUUGUGCAAUUUGAUUUUUUUUUUCUCCCAAUUAUUUCGUUUUGAGCUUACACAAUACAGCGUGCUGUAACAGAGCUCUAUAGACAAGAUUCCAAUAAAUUGUACUGCAGUUAUUUAAAAAAUGAUAAAGAAAUUACUUUAUAAUGAAAGCCAUUUGCGGUGAAGUUAAAGGAUGUUAUUAUAUGGAAAUAAAAAAGCCUAGGAAUUCAGGUGAGAGAAAAUAAAACAAACUCCAACUUACAUAACUCGUUUCUGUUAUCUCUCUCUCCCUCUCUAUCUCUUUCGAUGUCAAGAAUAUUAAUGGUCAUUCAUGGAAGUUGCUUCCAUUUUGAAAUCCUUGAAGUAAAUGAAUUUGAGGCUGAAACACAAGCGUAAAAUGUUGCUUUGACCUUAUGCUGAUGAUCUAAAAUAUCGAUUGUGUAUUGCGAAAGACUAAGAGAUGCUGUGAAAGAAACAGAAACUUCAUUCCAUGGCCAAGCUUUUGUUUUCAAGGCAACCCUUCAAUGAACAUACAUACUUGUUUCAAAGAGAGGCAAAUACAGAACAAAGAAGAGAGUGUAAAAGAAUAAAGAAUGUUAUAUGAGCAACCAUGCAUAGAGCUUAAUUUGUUGAUUGAUAUAUAUAUAUAUAUAUAUCAAACUUUGUAAUUCAAAAGAUAUAUCUAGUAUAUAUAUCGAUAUUAUAGCUAAGCUAGCCCCUCAGGACUUAGUGAUACAAAAAUUGUUUCAACUCUCCGAUACUAUCCGCUGCCGCUAUUUACAAUCCACCAAAAAGGGAAAAAGAAAAAGAAAGCCCUCAAGGCCGAAGAGAGACAGAGACUCAUUAAUCAUGCCAGCAAAGAAGCAUGACGACGCAUCUCCUUAUAAUGUAAAGCUUAGCCCUUUGCUCUCUCAAGACUCCUCCAAACCCUCUGCUUGAUAAUGAUCUUCUCUUUGAGGCUCCCAUGCUAGCACUGCUCAUCUUCAUGGUUUUUUGUUAUUCCGAAUGAGAGAAAAGAGAUUAGAGAGAGAGAGCUUAAUUUGCCCUUUGGUCUUCUCUUAUUGUGAUGAGUUUGGUUUGAAUAUAGAAGUGGGAAUGUGAAGCUGGGGGGCUUCUUAUAGUAAGAAGAGGCUGUGGUGAAGGCUCAAAUUGGUCGUUUAAAGAGGCAACGAUGGGGCAUCAAAGGGCGUGCAAGUGCCCCCUAACUCACCACAAAUUUCUAUUUUGACCCCACACAGCACACCCACUUGGAAAAAAAUAUUGUACAGUUAUAAAAAUAUUGCAAAACAAAAACGAGACCUCUCUCUCUCACCAUCUCUCUCUUAAUUUAUUUAUCAUACAUAUGGUCAUGUCAUACUCUAUAGCCUAACUCCUAGUAGGCAUCAACAACCAGCAUAAUGGGUCGGCCAUUACUUCAAUAAGGUAGCCAAUGUCUAUAGUAGUUUAUGGACUCCCUUUCAAUAUCUUGAUGAUAAUGUGAAUUUUAUUUAUUUAUUUUUGGAAACACUUGAUGAUAAUGUGAUUAGAUGAUAAUGUGAUUAUGCUUUGAUGAUGAGGCCCUUCUUAUCUUUUUUCCAAAUUAUCUACCUACUUAGGCAAAAGAGUUCUUUAAUUAGUUGAAUCCUACGUAACCAUGCAUAUAUAUUUUAACCGCCUUUUAAUUAAGCUUGUUUAAAGGUGAUGAUGACAUGACAUUGAUUAUCUCUUUGACUCCAAUAUAAAGAUGCUGUCAUUUUCGUUCCUCUCUGGUGUGUUUAAUUUUCAUUUUUCUCUUUUUUUUUUUUUUUUUUUUUUUUUUUUUUUUUUUUUUUUUUUGUGUGUGGAGCAUCCUUAAUGAGUUUAUUCCUAAGUUUGUAUAAUGAAACAAGAACAUGACUUCUAUUAAUCAAUCCGAAUGUAAACCAAGGCCAAAAAGUUUUUUUUGGGUCUGACUCCUUAUCAACAAGGAAUAUAAUUAAGUGCAGGUUGGCUCUAUGUCUAUGUCUACGAAAAAUAUCUCACUAUAUCAGAAAAAUCGUAAUGUUUAAUUAUUUCCUUCAGCUAUAAGAUCAUUAUCUCCAUGUAAAUAUUCUUGGGAGUUCUAAAUAUUUGACUACACUGAAAUAAUGAGCUUGAAACGCACAUUGUGCACGUUGGAUGGGCAUGAAUACUUAUAAAGAGAGUAACGAAAAUGAUAUUACAGUGUAAACUUGGAAGCAGACAAGAUGAGAAUAAGAUCUCACCGACAUUGUAAUUCUUAAGAUCUGCCAGGAAUUUGAAUCUAUUUUACAUCUGGCUUAACGUAGGUUGAAAUUUUCAUCGAACAUUUGACAGAGUGGUCACAGUGAUGCUCAUCACCAGCUUUAUAUUUAUCUAUUCAUUUGCACAUAUCACAAUCAAAAUCGCACCAUGCAUGCGAGAGUUUGAUGCCACUUUGCUAUGAACAAAUCAUACACAAUAACAAACAUAGAUUGAAUCUUCAGAGCAAUCUAAAUCACACUGUAUAUACAUGUAGACGAGUCUCAACUAAGAUUUUUUUUUUUUUUCAUGAAAUUGUUCAAUAAAACAAAGCUGUGUGUCUCGAUUUAUUUUCUUUUCAUUUAUCUCAUUAUUAUUAUAAUUAGUCGAUACUAAAGUAAGUGUAUGAUAAAAUUUUAUUAGAUGUACUUAAAUUUUAAUUAUGAUUUAAACUGCUUUAAUGUGCUUUUAAAGAUCAUAUACUGCUCGUUUAUUUACUCAUUCGCGACUAAAUAAUAUAUAUAUUGUUCAAGAAAAAACUAUGUCGAAAUUAUGUAAUAUGCAAGUUACACUUAAGAUUCCCUUUGCACUAUAUUUUACAAUUAAAAAGCGGAAAAAGGAGAAGGAGAGAGUGAAUUGAGGAGAGGAUGAAAUUUCAAGGCUAUGACCAAGAUUCCACUUUAAUAUUACAAGAACAAGCUUAUUAAAAUUAACGUUAAGAGCUCAAAGCCCAACCAAAGUGACUGAUUAAUUAGAGUACAGAGGAUAAUUAAAAAUCUUACUUCAUCAAAAGCAAAGCACCACUUGCUUGGUCUCGUGCUUCACCCAUUUAGCUUGUGGACAUUGUCGUUCUAAUAAAAUAUCUCAUAAUGAAUUUGUUCUGUUCUCUCUUAUUAGUUUGCAAGUUAAUUACAAGCUGUCAAUUCGUCAUUUCAGUAGCUCUGGCUCACCAAUAUCAGCAUUUUCUUGCCUUAGUCCAUCCAUUUAUUUAUUUAUUUUAUUUUCUUUAAGUGUAGACAAGAUUUUUAGAUGCUGUAUAUUUUGUUUGUUAACAACUCAUAAAACAUGUCUCAUGAAUGUUGUUUCAUUGAUUCGAAUUAUGGGAUUAGUUACUUCAGUUAAUUAAUUUUUACGACCGACCCUAACUAUAACUAUAAGAUCUUGAUAAUCAAAUUGUCUAGAAUUGAAUGUGAUUUGUAAGAUUAAUUUAUUUUUUAUUUUCUGAUUAUAACUUGUAAGAUUAAUUAGGAUUACAAUAACACGAUCAGAGCAAUAUUACAUUUAUUCGUAUAAGCAUGUUAGCAAAUAUAUAGCAUAGAAAAGGGUCAUCAAAAGAGUUUAAUUUUGUGGUCACACAGCGGUUGCUUCCAUGCAGAAAAAUAAAAAUAUAUUAGAUGAUCGUGGAGUGUAAAACACCUAAAAGCUUUGGGAAAUCGAAAAAGCUUAGAGACAGUAUUAAUAAAAAUAACAAUGGUAAUUAAUUAGUCUAUGAAAUGCACCGUAAUCAAAGUGUUACAGUCUUAGAUUGAAGUGUCUUAUAUGUUGGGUAAGCACUAAGCAGUAGUGCAUCUGUUUUUAUUAUAUAAUGGCCUUGGACCCCUGGUUGUACUGAACAAGAAGGCCAGAGCUGCACGUGAAGUUCUCGUGGUUUACAAUGCCACUGCCUCUGAUACACUCAACAAUUUUAGUAUUUGUUAUCUUAUAUCGAAGCUUCAAAUCAAAUUAUUUAUCAGUUGCUCCCAUCACCUUCUAUAUUUGUUCAGUUUCUUCUUUGGUCCUUCUUUAUUAAGCAACUUCAUUUCUUCCCACAUGCAGUGUGUGCUUCAAUAAUUCAACUGGGGGCAUGAAGUUAGCAUUUUUCGAAAUUUUCUAAGUUGAAGUAACAAGUGAGUGAUAGUACAGUUGUAUGAGUUAAUUACAGCCUCAAUGCCGUACUAAGAGAGAUAUUAAUUGUCAGGUCAAACUUGUGCGUAUGUGGACUCCAUUGCCAGCAAGGUUAUUACUGCCAGCUUAUGUGCUUGUUAAUAAUGUACUGAAGAGUUUAACUUACUCAAGAGGCACAUUAUUGUGAUUUUUUCUUUUAUAUACUGAUGUAUUACAAUCAGAGUAUAAUUGAUAUUAAUAAUAAAAAAUGAGUCGAGACUCUCCUUAAUAAUUUUAUUAUAGCACAACUUAAAGAUUAACCCUCAUUUAAUAUUAGAGGGAGAUUUAUUCUAUCUUAAAUGUAAGGAGAUAAAUAAACCCCUACAUAAAAGGUGAGUCGAGUCCCAAAAAUAAAUAUUAGGUACAUAGGUUGCCAGUGGGCUAGAAGCCCAUUGGAUACAUUAUUGUGAUUAGUGAAAGAGUUGCAGUGUCAUCAGUGGCUAGUAUGAGACUGUAUAAUGCUUGGGCUCCAUCAACGACAAUUAUGAAAUGAAAGCACUAGUUGUCAAGUGAAAGUGGAUAGAUGUUUAAAAAUCCUAGCUCCUCAAGUUGAAUAAGCGCAACUUAGUCACUUUUAAUUUCCGAAACAAAAUUGUUAGUGUCCAGUAAGCACUUUAAAAUUUGGUUUGGAAGUGCCGAAAACUUUAACUACUUAGCCUUAGAAGCACCAUUCCGAGCCUUAUUGAAUGAGAGUUUUUGGGACUGGUGUAUUGUCCCAUGUACAAUUAAAGUCCAUGCAGCGGAUGGCAACCUUGCUUGCUUGAUCUUCAUGUAAGUAUGGCCUAAAUACAAGCAGAGUCCCAUAGAUUAGAAAAUACCGGGGUUCUCCCAACAAACUACAAGAUGUUUGUAGAUUAGAAAUAUUAACAAUUCAGAGUCCUACAACAGAUUAGGCAUUUUCAGGGCGGUUUCUGAUGAAAUUUAAAACCAGGGGAUCCAUUAGAAUUUAAAUCUUACAAUGUACGUCACAUAGUACAACAUUCCAGGUUACCACGCAAGGGAGCAUCAAGAAAACUGGCGCAAGAUGAGAAACUUUGAUGCUUCAUGGCAGUUUCUGCUCAUUUAGGAUGAUUAUUCUAUAAACUUAUCAUUAAUGAAGGAGUUCGCACGUGCGUUCAAAGAGUUCCAGGUAUGUUGCUAUAAGGUUCCAGCUAGUUUCUUACAUUUCAAGUCAUUCCGUUUACUCUAUUCCAUUAGAACAGUCGGUUCAAAUUAAUACACAAAAUUUACAGAAAGAGAAAAAUUGAAUAUGUGUAUUUACAGUGUUCAUUCCUCUCUUGGGAUCCACCGGCUCCACCAUAGACUCUUUUGGCGUAUGUUAAACUCAUCCAUGCUCUCAUUCAGUGUCCUUACAAUCCUUCUCUGCAGUUUAAGGGCUGAAGCAAGAGCGUUUCUCUGAGCACUUCCCUUCCGCAGCGGCUUUAUUUCCUACACAACAAGGAACAGAAUGGUGAAAUAUUGUUUACUUGCAAUAUUCACGAUGAAAUUGAUAUUCGAGCAUAGUUCAGACACUGACUCUCAGCUCCUGAAGCUGGGCUUCUGUGAAGCCACCUUCCUUCUCUGUUCCCGAUUUUGCCAUUCGCUGAAUUACCCACUCGGCAGCUUCACUGUAAUCCUGUUGUGUGGCUCGGAAGAAUUGCAACCGUAGGUUCUGCAUGAAGGACAAAGCUAAUAGCCCUUCCCUAUCAAAGUAGGGAUGAGCUAGAGCUGUUUUUGCACUGAUUCUUUGCCGUGCUUUGUAUCUAACCAUCGAAGUCAAAAGUUCCCAUCCUAUGCCACCAUCUAUGUCUAACAAUUGAAAGCCCUUGCGGAGAUCAGGGCUGGCACGAGGCUCUACAGUUUUCCUCCAUGCGCUCAAGUCAUAGUCACACCUCUUCAGCUGACGGUUGAAUUGUAUGAGGCCACUGUCUGUGCGUAGUCCCGGGAAUGCCUAUAAAAAUGAAACAGUUACAUCAUGUAGUAAGCUAAAUCAGCAAAAUCCUGAGGUUUGCCCAAAGCAGCCAUGUAUUAUCCAUAAAAGUUAUAUUUGGUGUAACUAGGGAAUAGCCAGUUGGUCUACCUCUUGCAGUGGAAGCAAGAGAUCGGGAUAGAUUCCCCCUCACACCAACCUUAGUGGGGGAAGUUCUUUAAUUUGUGUUGUGCACAGGAUGGGGUGGAAUUAGGGUGUGCGAAAUGCAAAAAGAAUGAACAAAUAAAAUCUGAAUCUAACUCGGGCAAAUAUGGCGGAAGUCCACUGCUAUUUCCAGAGCUAAUGUUAAAGAUAGGAAUUUACGGUCUCCAUAUGUUUAUAAUGCUUACGAGUUUAAUCAGUAGAAUUAUUCAAGGACUUCCAAGGUUUUAUACAUCCUAUUUAGUUUCUAUUAAAACUUCAAAAUCUAAAACCCAAUGGCUAAGUUGUAGCUGUUUUAUCAUACAGUAUGUUUUCUACGAAGUGUAUUAACAGCUGGUGAUAGCCUAAAAGUGAAAGACCAAGAUCAAAACUAAGACCAACUUAUAAGAGUUCAUAUAAAAGUUACAGUGAAUAAGCCAAUGGACAAGAAUGUAAACAGAGCCUUCUGACAGUACAUACCAUUUGCAGGAAUAUAAGGCCAGCACUGUAGAUAUCAAAUCUAUCUGGCAAAUUGAGCUGUUAAAAGAACAAUAUGAUCAAAUCUAACAAGAAGGACAACUUUCAAUAAAUAAAGCCAACUAAUGACAAUAGACUUGGGAUGUGUCACGGUGAACACUGCACCUGCCAGAGGACGGGAGAAAGUGCAGUUGCAACCGGAGCUGAGGGAGCAGAGGGAGUCUGUGUGCUCAUGAUGUACUGCUCUGGUGCAGCAUACCUGAAAGAAAGAAGCAGUAGAAGGUUAUGAAUCCUAUAUGAUAUAGAAACUUAGAAACGUCACACCAAAUUCAGUGGGGUAUCAAUUUGGGUAUCAAGUAAAGAUUUUACUCCUGAGGGCAUAUUGAACUCAAUGCAGGUGCUGGUUUUAAGAACUAAUUCUAAAUAAUGGUAAUAGUUGUGUCGGUUGAAGGAAAUGAUAAUAGCAUAUCAGUCUCAUUUUCGGCUAUAAUUCUAUUUCUUCAUAGUUGCAGGGAACUGGGUGUCACUUAAAUGUAACUGAAAAUGGUUGUUAUUUAAACAUGGUUUACAUCAAACCAAUAUUCUGUUUUAGAAUGACUAAAAGGAGAAAAAAAAAUAGAAAUGCUUGGCACUGAUAAAAAAUUUCAAGAACUGGUUCGUUUAGACUUCUGAUAAAUUUUAUAUAAGCCAUUAUUCUUCCAUUUUUGGUCCAGAACUUGAAAUGAUUCAACCAUAUUUCAUAGCAAUUAACUAAGUCGAUAUAAUCUUUCAAAUGCCUAUUUCAAACUAGGGCAGUUUCAAUUUCAUACAGAACCUACUUUAUGUUUUAUUUGGUUAUUAUGACAACUUUCCACAUUCCAGACAGAACCUGCCUUUGAGUGAUUAUGCAAUAUCAGGUGAAAAGCUUUGUUAAGUCCGUCAUUUUUGUUAGCCAUUUGUAUGCCUCUUCGGGGUUUAAGUGCAAAGAAAAAUUGCUUUUAAGAAUAAUAAAUUUUCAAAGUCAUGCAUGUCUGUACCCUAUUCAUUACAGAUUAUGAAGAUGUAUCUUGAACAUCAAUCAUUUCUCUACCCAUGAAAUACUUGCUUAAAUUUGGACUUCUGACGUUGAAAAGUCGGAAGAUGCAACAUGCUACCCGCUGCAGCAACAAAUUUAGAACAGUUUUGCUGAACAACUAAAUCUAUCCAAGACAAAAGGGGAUGGCCACAGAUAAUCUCUAGGAAAAAGCCAUCAUAAAUAUUCUAGCAAUUAGAAUGACUGAACUAUUAACAGCUGGAAAAUCAACAAAGAUUUAUUUAUUUGAUAAAGAGAUUCAAUUGCUGAGAGUGAAGGCAUUCUCUUGGGAGAAUCCAACCAGCUUACUAUACGAAGAGACGAGGGCCCUAUUUACUUAAAUUACAUGAUAGGAAAGAAAAUACCUAGGAUCCAAAAGAAAUUCCUUCGGAAUAUAGUUGAUGCCCACUCGCAGAUCCGCUGCAGCUCCAAGAUCAAUGAUCUUGAAUGUACGUGAACCUGCCCAUGUUUAAAUGGUUAUAUAAAAUUAUCAAUCAUAGUAAAAUCAAACUAAUCCAAUUUUUUUCUUUGCCUUCCAGAGAGAUCAAAUUUAUUACCUUCAGAGAAAAUAACAUUCUGUGGCUUAAUAUCCCUAUGCACAAUGCCAGUCGAAUGAAGACCAUCCAAUGCAAAUAAGAUCUGGCUCAUGAUAGUUUGAAUGAUUCUAUUUUCUCUUUCAAUUCCUUUAGGCAAGUCUUGGACCUCACCAAGAAUCAAUGUUUGUACCUGGCAUUUUAAGCAUCACAAGAGUUGGUAUUUGGGAAGCUAAACUGUAACAAGAGUUACUGCAGAAUUGUCAAGAUAAGAAUAUGUGGCAAAGCUCACACAAUUACUCUUUAUAUACAUAUAAAAAAAAAUAUAUAUAAUAAUAAUAAUAGCAGUUGAAAAAGGAUUUGAAUUUUAAGGUCCUUCCUCUCUAAAUAGUAAAAGAGGACUUAAGAAUAACAUUAAAACAUAAGGGAAACAGUCUCCAAGUGGCUGGAUGGAAAAUUUUCCUUGCAAGUAGAAAGAUCAUUUUAUCUAAAUUUCAUUGGAAAAGACAAGAUCAGCAGAAAGAAUCAAAGAUCUAUAGUUGGCGGUAUGGUUCAUAACAUAAAAUUCUCAGACUGACAAGGCAUGGUAAGUUUCACCCAAAAAAAAAAAAAAAGAGGAUUUAAACUCAUGCAAGAAUAGUUUCAACCACUUAUACAAUACACAAAGGCUGAUGGGAGGAGAGUACCAACAUUGUAGGGGAACUCUCUGCUUAUCAUCAAAUCUGCAAGUGUGGCCUCUCCUUCAUACCGCCAUAUAAGCCAGUAUUCACCUCCUUUUUUCGAAGAAUUCUAAAACCAAUUUCAUCAUAACAAUUCCGGUCACAAGGAAGAAAAAGAAAACAGAAAUUAUCAUGUGCUGUCAACGUACAUAUUUUCAUUUCUUGAGAUGAUAAUACCCUUAAUUCAUAUGGUAGAAGUAGUCAUAAUAGAGCAAGACCUCAAAAAAGCCGUAUACAAAAUCAGCACAGCAGUUUGCACAAGCUCUUCGAACACGCUCAUUCAUCCAAAUUUCCACUGCACCAUAUUCAGUAGCCUUCUUCAAGACCAAGUCACCAUCAUUCUAAUCACAACCAAAAAGCAAUUAGCACACACUAAUUCACAGUAAAUUAAGUAAGGUUUGCUAUUAUUUCCAUGUUUGGUAAAACCAAUCAAACAGAAUCAAUUCACUAUUGACGAUAUAUUGGGCAUAGAAUCCACUGAAGUUCAACGUAAAUAAGUUUUGGUUCCAACUUAAACCAACCAAAAGGAUAAACAUUAGUUCAAAGGAAAUUUGAACAUACCCAGAAGCAACAAUGAAAGUAGGAAAAUCAAAAGUUUCUACCUUGGAAGAAGGCUUCUUAGCCAAGGAAGCUCUAUAAACAACGCCAAAAGCUCCCUCACCCAACUUUUUUCCCAAAACAAAAUCAUCCUGCCAACAAAAACCAAAACGAUUAACGUUCAAUAACACAAAAUCUAUCAAAACUUGCAGAAUAAGCCAAAAAUUACUAACCUUCCUAUAAGUGGUUCGAAAUAGCCUUUCGACAAAAGCAAGCACAAACAUGUCAAAAAACCCAGGAGCCACGCCGGGGGUGGCCCAGAGAUAAGAAAUAGCACUAAGAGCCAAAGCCACACCAGGUGCAGUAAUUGUCAGACCAUUGGACUUAGGCAAAGUGCUUCUGUAUAUGAUAUCACCACACUCCAUGACUGUGCAUGGCAAACCCACUCCCACACCCAGAAACACAUCGCGAACUGUAUCAAUCAGCUCAGCUUUUGUCGUCAAACUUGAGCUAAUAUUGUUUUUUGAAAAGGGUUUGAUUAGUACUAGCCUUUUUCCAAGAAAUGGAGAUGACGGGGGCUUUGAUUUUGGAGUACUUCGGCGAUUGAUUAGUACUAGAGUAGCACUUCCUGAUGCAACCGUGGCCAUGUUUCUGCUGCAGAGUGAGGCUCUGCUCGCGUUAAUUUGCUGACUCGCUUACUUGGAGAAACUUCAAAUUCAGACCACAAGUCUCUGUGAGUUUUUGCUAGAUUUUUUUUUUUUUUUUUUUAAUUUUCAUUUCUGUUUUCGGCCUUCAUGGUGAUAGUUAUUACAGGUAUUUUUUGUGGAGGGAAAUUGCUGAAGUGGAUUGCAGAGACACGUGCACCGCAAAUGACACGCAAACAUUAAAUAAAGUUGGGCUAGGCUCGAUUUGGGCUAACGAUGUGAAUUAUUCCACUAGAGCGGCUAGGCUGGACUGGCUGAAUUUGAAGGCCUGAUUUGGAUCUGAUCUACAUCCAUUUUUAAGAUCUUGACCCAACAAUGUUUUACAUUUUUUUUUUAAUUUUUUUUUAACUAACAAUUUUCAAUGCUUUUCAUUUUUGUACUACAAGUAUUCAUUGUACUUCUUAAUUUUUAGGUCUUCAGUAGAAUAAACAGUUGAAUUUUGUGUCAAAAUUGUGUAAGUUGAAAUUAUUCAUGCGUUGACAAUAAUUUUAAUUUAAUUCCCUCUCAUGUACCAAAGCAAUGUAGCAAAUUAAUUUUAUCAGUAGAGAGUGAGUGAAAUUGAAGAUUGCUUUUGAAUUCGCAGAAAAAAUUGACGCGCAAUCAAAGAGAAAUUUUUGGUUUGACUCAAGGAUCUUAUUAAUAAUUGGUUAAACUCCUAGAAUAUUGCUCUUUGUUUAUUCAAUCUUUGUCCCAUGAGUGUUGAUAAUGGAUUUAGAUUUAGUACUGAACUAGAUUUAUAUCAUAUUAAGAUUAGUAGUUAUUUAAUAAGAAAUAAUAUAAUAAACUACACAAAUGAUAGAAUGUUAUAAGAAAAAAUAAGUACAACUCAACUCAGUGCUAUAUAUAAAUUGUUUAUAAUAUUCGUGUUUAAAUAGCAAAGAGUUUCUCGGUUACUUAAUUAAAUGCCGACAACCGUUUUUUUAGAACCGAUGAGCUUCGGAUGGCCGUGGCCUGCCUAUGAGGAAAUAGUGGGGUAAGCUGGAAUCUGACAAGGAGAAUUCUAGGCUGGGGCUUAUUUUGUCCGCAUUUAUUGGCCCAUCCUCGUAGCUCGCCUCUUAGGGAAAUAAAUUUGGACCAUGAAGCAGCCUGAAAACGUGUCUUGAAUCCCUAGCUCAUUUCCAAUUUGAAGGGAUUUCUAAUUUCUAACAGAAGAAAAAAGCUUUCAGGCAGAAAACUCACCAUUAUAACCUAUCCCAAUUCAGUAACCAGUACGCACUUGCAAUGCGCCAAGAAGGGCCCAUGCAUUUAUAAGGACGCCGUAAUUUGCUUGUUGCAACCUGCAGCUUUCCCACGUCUUGGGUCCUUCGUCACAAUUGUUGCAGCAUGUACCAUUGAGAUUUGAGCUAGCUAAAAAAAAAAACAUGUAACUUAGGGCAAUUUUAGACACUGUCAUUUGGUUCUUUGGCGCGCGCACCCACUUAUACACUAUAUAGUAGCACAACCCCGGUCAAUUAUCAAUCAUUUGCUGAUUUUUGGAAAAAGAUAAAGCGUAGCUACGAGUGGCAAGAUGAAAUUUUUGAUGGCCUCCAUUUGUCAUAUUGGGAUCAGAGAAUCCACAUUACAUGUACAUACAUCAUCUAGCAAACAUACAAACGAACUUUAAUCAAAUAAUGUAUGGAGAAAAAAGAAAAAAAAAAAAGGAAAAAUAGAAAAGCGAAAGUAGAACCACCUAGAUUGAAACCUUCCACACCCCUUUUCCUAUUAAUAUUAUCAACAAACCAAACAAAACAAAAACGCUCUACAUACAUCGAUCAUCAUCGAAUCUCCCAUUCUCCCACCUACUACUAGUGCCACUCACACCGCUACAUUUACCACAUACAAAUGCAUGCAUGCCGAUCGUCAUCAAUUGAUCAGCUAGCGAUCAUCAGUCCUUCCACGAUCCACCCACCGAAUCACAGCCCUUAAUCACGCCCCUCUUUAACGGCCCCUUGUUGUCGUAAACCCCGAAACUCCCCUUUUUUUAUCAGCUAUCAGAGAACAAGGACUUGUGACGAAACAGGUCAUACGGGGCCCACAACGAAUCCAACGGACACGGCUUCUUCGAGUCAAUCCUCAGCCAGGGCUUCCCUUUGCCACUCCAGUGAAGCAAACUCACUGGACCCGGGUGCAGAUUCCUACACAGGCCUUCCAGAUUGUCCCCGCCAAGCCCGUGCUGGUUCCACCUGUGCUCCACGCCUUCCACGUCACCUGCAAACACGAGCAGAAACGGAGGCAACGAACCCAGCUCGUAAAUUCUGUACUUCUUUUGCACUCUCAUCCAGUACUCCAAUUUCUCUGUGUACCUUCCUUCUCUCCAUUUCCUCAAAUCAAUCACCAUCACUCCCGUGUUAAAAUAACACGGCCUCCUCCCUUUAACGGUCCCGGAAAACACAGGGUUCGACCAGAACUUUGACGUGAAAUAGUUGGUAAAGUUAGCGUGACAGUACUCCGGCGCACCAAGCACGCGUCCUCUCAAAUUGAUGCUCCACAAUUUUGCCACGUCAUCGACCACUAUGAGGUCCGAGUCAAAGUAAAUAAUGCGGCCAACGGUCAACGGCAAAAGAUCGGCCAGGUAGAUUCUAGCGUAAUUCAACGGCUGAUCCAACGCUUGACGAAUCGAGUACGAGAUCUUGCCUUUCACUAGAUUGGUGUCGAAGCGAUAGAUUUCGAAGUUUAGGUAAGGGAAUGUGGCGGUGAUCGUGCGGCUCAGCUCGAGUCGCUGCCGCUGCGUGCUGAUGAAGUGGAAGACGAUGUUUUCGGGACACGUGGCGUGUUGAAGGACGGAGAAGACGCCGGCGACUGAGCCGCGGAGGUACGUCGAGUCGAGAGUCAUGGAUAUGUGGAUGAUUGAUGGAUUGUGAGAUCUUCUGUCCAGCGCAGACCAUGUCGCUUUCGGACAUUCUCUGCCGUUUCGAAAUGCCGGUGCUUCUCUAAACCGAGGAAGCUCGCCUGAGAUUGCGGGGAAAAUUAUAGUAAAAAAUAUCAACAAACGAGACUCAAAUUUUAGUCUCAUAGUGAAGUGCGAGCAAGCAAGAGUGAGAGUUUUUUUUUUUUUUUUUUCCCUUUUUUUUCUGGGUUGUGAGGCUUUUGUUUAGACAAAAAUGAAAGAAAGAUAAGGGGUGAGAAGGAAUAGAAGGACGGAGUGAGAGAGUGUGGACCAAGCCAGGCUGGCAACGACGCGUUCUUUAUCUUGUCUUGUGAGAUCAUAUGUGUUCACAAGAAUUAAAUAGACUGUGAUGAUCCUGUGGUGGUGAUUGCACGUUAUGGAUAUCUGUCACCGUACCCUGAGAUCCGUACAUCAGAUGUUAUUUAGUGUUAAAUUACUGGGGUCACUAACGACACAGCGGCACCAGCGGUGGUGAUUUUACUACAAUUUGUAAUUAACGUGAGGGUGUCGGUAUAGAACAAAGAUGUUCUCAGACGCAACUUUACCUCGUGUACGCACGGUCUAAUUCGAAAAUCGGGUAACAGAAUGAAGGCGAAUGUUGCUUAGAGCAACAGAAGAGUGGAAUGUGAUGUUCACGUGGCAAUUUGUGAGUAGACAUACGGUACGUGAUCGUAAUCAAUGUGUCGUACCUACCGUCUUAUUCAGCAAUUACCCAUGUCUCGUAAAUUUUUGUCGCUAAUUAAUUAAGGUCGCUUGUCAGGUAAAUUAGCUACUCAGAUUGAUCCACACCGUUGGAUCAGUUUUGAGGAAUGUGACACCGUAGAUGGGGAGAUUCAUUU